GUGCCAGCAGCCGCGGUAAUACGUAGGGUGCGAGCGUUGUCCGGAAUUACUGGGCGUAAAGAGCUCGUAGGUGGUUUGUCGCGUCGUUUGUGUAAGCCCGCAGCUUAACUGCGGGACUGCAGGCGAUACGGGCAUAACUUGAGUGCUGUAGGGGAGACUGGAAUUCCUGGUGUAGCGGUGGAAUGCGCAGAUAUCAGGAGGAACACCGAUGGCGAAGGCAGGUCUCUGGGCAGUAACUGACGCUGAGGAGCGAAAGCAUGGGUAGCGAACAGGAUUAGAUACCCUGGUAGUCCAUGCCGUAAACGGUGGGCGCUAGGUGUGAGGGUCUUUUCACGACUUUCGUGCCGUAGCUAACGCAUUAAGCGCCCCGCCUGGGGAGUACGGCCGCAAGGCUAAAACUCAAAGGAAUUGACGGGGGCCCGCACAAGCGGCGGAGCAUGUGGAUUAAUUCGAUGCAACGCGAAGAACCUUACCAAGGCUUGACAUAUAUCGGAAUCGGCUAGAGAUAGUCGCGCCCUUUGGGUCGGUAUACAGGUGGUGCAUGGUUGUCGUCAGCUCGUGUCGUGAGAUGUUCGGUUAAGUCCGGCAACGAGCGCAACCCUUGUCCUAUGUUGCCAGCACGUUAUGGUGGGAACUCAUGGGAUACUGCCGUGGUCAACACGGAGGAAGGUGGGGAUGACGUCAAAUCAUCAUGCCCCUUAUGUCUUGGGCUUCACGCAUGCUACAAUGGCCGGUACAAUGGGCUGCGAUACCGCGAGGUGGAGCGAAUCCCAAAAAGCCGGUCUCAGUUCGGAUUGGGGUCUGCAACUCGACCCCAUGAAGUCGGAGUCGCUAGUAAUCGCAGAUCAGCAUUGCUGCGGUGAAUACGUUCCCGGGCCUUGUACACACCGCCCGUCAAGUCAUGAAAGUUGGUAACACCCGAAGCCGGUGGCCCAAACUUGUUAGGGAGCCGUCGAAGGUGGGAUCGGCGAUUGGGACGAAGUCGUAACAAGGUA
This 995-nucleotide ribosomal RNA is filed under the name uncultured Corynebacterium sp. RNAcentral describes it as "bacterial SSU rRNA". It matches the Rfam family "Bacterial small subunit ribosomal RNA", at positions 505 to 1498 of the family's 1533-position model. Lineage: Bacteria; Bacillati; Actinomycetota; Actinomycetes; Mycobacteriales; Corynebacteriaceae. The record is from RNAcentral.